AGCUGCAGCCCUGGGAGCAGCGGCUCUCCGCAAACUUGCUCCGAGUUCGCGGGAGGAACUUUUGCUGCCGCUUCGGCUGUUCAGAAAAACUGCGCGUGUUUUGUGAGCCCGGCCUUUUCAUGCUUCACAAAUAAACAGAGGAUCAACCCGGGAGGAAAUGUUUAGCUGGAGAGAGUUGUUGCAGUUCCUGUGUUUGUCUCCAGGACUGUGAGAUGUGUUGACUGCAGAGCUGACAAUGACCCUGGAAACAGAAGGGGAAUUCUUAUAAAUCACAAAGGAAAAUAAAUAACUUCACUCAUGGAGGGAAAGAGACAGCUUGAGAAAAGGGACUUUGGAAAAAGGCUGUCUCUAGAUAGCAGUCUUGUGGAAUACACGGACUCCAACAAAUACAUUGAACAUCUGCUGACUCAACUUGAGGAGCAACACAGAAGUCUCUGGAGGGAGAAGUUGGCUGUGGCCCGACUGCAGAGAGAAGUUGCCCAAAGAAGAAGUGAGGGGGCCAUGCAUGAGAAGCUGAUACAUGAAUUGGAAGAGGAGAGACACUUACGUCUUCAGAGUGAGAAGCGCUUACAGGAGGUGACACUGGAGUCUGAGCGGAACAGAAUUCAGAUGCGUGGCCUGCAGCAGCAGUUCUCCAGGAUGGAAGAAACAGUACGAAAUCUACUGCAGAGUCAAGGACCUCCAGAACAGAAAAAAGAAGAAACUGUUAAUAUAAUGGUCUAUCAGGAAAAACUGUCAGAGGAAGAGAGAAAACACAAGGAAGCUUUGGAAGACCGUCACAUGGUGGUAGAUGAGGAUUCAAGGAGUGAAGGCAGCAGUGCAGAUGAGGGGAAGGAAAAGACCAAAUUGCUGUUAGAAAGAUUGAAGGCUCUAGAGGCAGAGAAUUCAGCGUUGGCUUUGGAAAAUGAAAAUCAAAGGGAACAGUAUGAGAGGUGUCUUGAUGAGGUAGCCAACCAAGUUGUGCAAGCUCUGCUCACUCAAAAGGAUCUAAGGGAGGAAUGUGUAAAGUUGAAAACAAGAGUGUUUGAUUUGGAACAACAGAAUCGAACGCUAAGCAUCCUUUUCCAACAGCGAGUCAGACCAACUUCUGAUCUGCUCCUCCAGAAACUUCACUCACGCAUCUUAGAUCUUUCAACCGGGGAUUUGCUCUCAGAUGUGGAAAGAAGCCGGAGUCUGACACACUCACGAACUGAUGUUGAAAUGCACGAAUGCCAGCUGAACACAAAAUCAGGAGCCCCUGCUUUGAAACGCCCUGGCAUGGGGGUUGCCAUCCGUGGUCAUCUCUGUCCUCGAAGCAGCUGUAGCAGCAGCGAGCUGUCUCUCUCGAGCACCUGCAGCGAAUACUCCAGCGGCUCCUCCUACACGUGGCAUGAUGGGAAGAAUCUCAGGAAAAGGCAGUCAUCACAAAACUGGGACAAAAGGUUAAGUAUUGACUCUUCACUCCCGAGUGGCUUUGCUAGUCCCACAGAUGAACUACCUCCGACUCGCAUCAAGGAAAGCCACAUCUUGGAAGGACUCAGAAAGCUCCAGAAGCGAAAAGUGUUACUUGAACCCCCAUCAGUGAUAACCAAAUGGGGUUAUAAAGAUUGCAUGAACUCCAAUGAAGGAAUCUAUUCUCCAGGCAUUAAAAGUAGCAGCCUCAAGGAAUAUGCCCCCUGCAAACCCACGGACACGGGGAGCCCCUGCAAGGAGCCCCACAAGGCAUUUGUUUAUGACACAGAUUCUCACGACGAUGCCGAAGAGGACCCUUCCUCCUUAGCCUCGCUCCAGGCAGUUCCACACCAGGGCUGCAGGCUGCACGGUUGUAAAUUAACCCACAGUGUUUCCGACAGUCUCUUUGGCUGGGAGCUGAACGGCAAACACCGUUCAGAAGUCACUUCCUCGGUCUCCCCCUGGGAAAGGCCUGAGAAGCUGACCAGCUGUGCUAGCGACUGUCCCUUGGAGCGGGAGCUGUGCCCGAGUGCGCGGGGACCUCAGGUGCAGAGAGAGAGGGACCCGCACAGCCAGGGCUGCCUGCCUCCCAGUCUCGAGCUCUCAGACACCGACGACACCGAAACGCUGGAGGAGCUGCACAUAGAGAGCAGUGACGAGAAGAGCCCGUCAGACAUGUCCUUGACUGUGGACGCCGACGAGUCCGUGGAGAACCUGGACGUCCGCGUGGGGUUUGGAAGAUCUCAGCGUGGGUCUCCUGAGGAGGAAGAAGAACAAGCGCCCGUCCACUUCGAGAGCAGGCCAAAGACGUUUAGUUUCAUUAAGCAGCAGAGGGUUGUAAAACGGACUUCCUCAGAAGAAUGUAUUACUGUCAUAUUUGAUGCAGAAGAUGGCGAGCCCAUUGAGUUCAGCUCUCACCAGACUGGCCUUGUCACUGUCACCAGAAAGGAGAUUUCCAUCCAUCAGGCCCCUGCUGGGCCCCAGACAGAGCACACUGAACUCUUACCUCAGGGAACUGCUCAUUUACAGCCAGGGGCUGCUGCUAGAGACUAUCCUUUCUUAAAGAGAUCUGAAGAGGAAACUGAGAGAAACAUUCCAAGAGGAGAAGCAGAUGACGUUGCCGUGACGCCCACUGAGUCCUUCCACCCCAGGACAGUGACGCAAAACACUCAGCGACAAAGACUGACCAAGCCAACACGCACUACGUCAUGCCAGAGUCAUUCGAGGUCCUCUGUGGCCACGGGCAUCUAUCAGAAGAAAAGUCUGACAAAAAUACCUACCAGGGGCAAGUCUUCACCUCAGAAAUCAAGGAUAAUGGAGCCUGAAGCCUCCCUCACGGUCCCCUCAACUGGCCCAGUGACUCUUGAGAGGUCACCAGCUCCAGGGAAACUCUCACGGUUCAAAAAGCCUGAAGGCCCAGAGCCCCUCUUUGCUUUACCGCCAGAUUCACACAUUCCAAAACCCUCCACCCAGCUCCCUCACGGCUCCAAAUUGUUCAGCAGAAGGGAUUGGGUCCAGUACUCCAGGAGUCAGAUGCCAGCAUCACAGCUGCUGCCAAGGCCCCCCGCCGAGCCGAGUGACGAUGGGGAGUCCCCCACGAGGGACAAACACUGUGACCCGGGACCAGAGGCCAGGCUGAGGUCGCCCUCCCUGCCGUCGCCUCCAGGCAGGUCGGUCUCCCUACUCGCCAGGCCCGGUUACAACUAUCUGUCGCCACCUUCAUGGGCCAAGCCAGAAAGCGGGGUCCCCAGUGAGGCAGCAAGGACAGUAUUGAAAUCCCCCCCUCUGAAAGGAUCCUCUGCUCCUAUUAUUUAUUUUAAUCAGACCGUGACAGAAGUGCAGGGGAAGAAACCUUCUGUGACCUUCAAAAAGCCAGUCUUCACUCCCCCUCCGCCCUCCACAGAAGCAGAAAUCCAAACCAGAUGCCCUGCUCACAGCCCCUCCAGCUUGUUUGCUGGGAUGACCCCAGGGCCCCCAAAGGUCUCUCCAAAGAGAAGUGUCCCCAAAACCCCACCUCACCAAACACUUGGGACCACACAAACGGACAUAGGGUUACGGACUCCCAAGAAUUGCCCUUCUACCCAUGAGCCACUGGAAAUACCGUCUUCCAAGGGUGUGUCUCCAGCAAGAAAAGGGCAGUUGAAUGACAGUGUCCCCACAUCCCCCAAGCCUUCCUUCUUAGGGGUAAAUGAGUCACCAUCAUCUCAGGUUAACAGUCCCUCAUCAUCAGCACCCUCCAAAAGCCAUAACACCCCGCAUGGUUGUCAAAACCCUCACGAGAGAGGACUGAAGACUCGCCUCCCCGUUGGGCUCAAAGUCUUCCUGAAGUCUCCCCAGUUGCUCAGGAAAAGUUCUACAGUGCCAGGGAAACAUGAAAAAGACAGCCUAAACGAAGCCUCGAAAAGUUCCGCGGCUGUGAGCAAGGAUAAGCCAGGGACCUCCAGGAACGCAAGCAGCCUUGAGGCCACCGGAGGCGAAAGAAAUGUGUCUCCACUGGGUUUACGAGCACAAGAGAGUUUGGCCGAAGGGCUUCCCCUGGAAACAGCAACGCCAGAGUCACUGGAAAAUAGCACGCCUGGGGCUGAUGGAAAAGAUGCGGUAGAAAACAAGUCUGUGAAGAGAUCCCUCUCCUCCAACAAACCACUCCUAAAACCAGCUCUAGGCAUGAACGGAGCCAAAGCCCGCAGCCAGAGUUUCAGCGCUCACUCGGGGGACAAGCCCCCCACGGCCUCCAUGGAAGGGCCAGGCAAAGUCCGGACUCAGAUUAUUACCAACACUGCUGAGAGGGGCAACUCCCUCACCCGGCAGAGCUCCUCCACGGAAGGCUCUCCCAGCAAGACCGCGUCUGCCCCCACGUCUGACGGUCUCCCCGGUGCUGGGAGGCCCCUGGGGCAUCCUUCCUCCAGGCAGGGCUCCCUGGGGAGUACAGGCAGCUCCAGCAGCCAGCACGGGAGUCCAAGCAAGUUGCCUUUGAGGAUCCUUCCAAAAUCCGAAGGGGCCCUCGCCCCACCUGGAACAGAAGAGCAGCAGGCCUAUGCCCAGGGAGAAGGCGCCAGGGUGACGGCACCAGAGGAAGCAGGCAGCGACCACGGCAGGUGCCCAUCCACCCCAAGAGACAGCCCAGGAGCUCCGCAGAGUCCGGGGAGGACACGGCAUCCCAGCAAUUUUGAAACCAGCAGGACCUCCAAGCUAGAAACUUCUGGAAGGUAUCCAGACACGUCUACAACCAGGACCGGUGUUGUGAGCCCAGAAGCCCCCCUCUCACCCACAAUCGAAGAAAAGGUCAUGUUGUGCAUUCAGGAAAAUGUGGAAAAGGGCCAAGUGCAAACAAAGUCCACCUCUGUGGACGCGAAGCCGAAGCCCGGGCCUUCUUUUGCCAGCUGGUUCGGUUUUCGGAGGAGCAGACUGCCAGCUCUCAGUAGCAGGAAGAUGGAUGUCUCCAAAACCAAAGCAGAAAAGAAAGAUGCAAAAGGUUUGGGGUUCGGAAACAAACAGCUAAAAUCAGAGAGAAAAAAAGAGAAAAAGAAGCCUGAGCUACAAUGCGAGAUGGAAAAUGAACUUAACAGGGACAUCGAGCUGGCAGAUGGUCCGGACAGUGGUUUACAAAACAGAAGUAACCUGAAAACACCGCCAGACAUUUAUGACCAAGUGAAGUUUGAAUCGAGAAAUAGACCCAGCCCUGUUCCAUGUUCAACGAAAGAUACCUUUAUGAUGGAACUUCUGAACAGAGUUGAUAAGAAAGCAGCUCAACAGACUGAAAGUGGAUCAAAUAAUGUUUCCUGCAGGAGUAUGUUAAAGGGCAGCUCCCAGGGCUCUUGUGUCACCGGCAGCUCUCUCGGCACUCAAGGAACCCACAAGAAGAACAUCAAAACCAAAGCAGAUAUGGAAAUACCGAAAGGCUCCCCGAUAAAAGAGGCAAAUGAACACUUGCAAGAGGAUGAAGAAGAUACAGUUGCAGAUUCUGCAUUUCAGAGCCAUACCAUAGGACAGAUAGAGAUGGAGUGAAGCUAAGAGAGAGGGUAGAUCAUCGAACAGAUACAAGGACAACCUUUUAGGAUAAGUAUGCUGUAUCUUCUCUAAGGGGAAAUUGUGACUUACUAAUUUGGGAAUCUGAUCUGAGAAUGUAAUAAGUGUGUGAACCAAGGAGAAUCAGUAAACAUCAUUUGUUUAGACCUUUAAUAUGCCUUUCAUAAGCACCAGCCCAAAAGUGGAUUAAAAGAAGAUACUAGCAAAUAGCUAGAUUAUCAUUAGACUGGGGAGAAAAAGUUGAGGCUAGAGCAAUUUUGUCAUGGAUAUAGAAUGAGCAGGGAUAACAGGAAACAAAAGGGAGAGAUAAAUUGGCAUUUCUUCAAUUAGCAAAAUGACGGACACAGAUCAGGGCUGGAACCAUAGUGGUUCUACAUUUUUAUGGUACUCUAGAAAGUUUUGCUAAUAAAAUUAAGGACUUUUUAUUUUUCAAUUAGAAAAAUAUCUGAGGAGGACAAGACUUGACAUAUGGAUAGGAAAGUGUUUAAGUGGUAAUCAUCACUCUGUGAGGAAUUGGGAGGAAUCUAUGUUGUAUUCUCAUAAACAAGGACUUUGACCUGGAAGUGGUGACUCCCAAAACAAGAUGUAGCAAUCUGGGAUCCAAGUCUGUUCCUAGACCAGCUGACCAAGUCAAGCAAAUACUGGUUUUUAAACUGUAGUGAUCACGUUAGCCUACUCUUAUAUAUCACGGUAAAUAUCACAUACAAAUCUCACCACUGUUUUACAAGACAGGCAUAGUAGCAUAGCAAGACAUGAAGGAGUUAUGUGAAGAUCUCAAGAUUUUUCAGUCUAGAAGAAUAAGAGUCUAGAGAUAAUUAUUAAAAUUUGUAAAAUCAGGAAGGGUUUGGAAAGUUGCAUAACAAAUCUCAGAAUACUAGACCAAGAGCCAUCCCCCAAACCUUUGAAGAGGUUGUCUUAGUGUCAGUCGCAAGACGAAGCACGUAUUAUAGCGAACCUAAGGAAUUUUUUUCUCAGGGUUUAUACCAGAUGAAUAAUUACAUAAAUUUAAGGAGGAUUUCUAUUAAUUCGUGGUCUGCAUGGGCAUUUGGAACACAUUUCUGACCUUUUCCAGUCUAUAUCCUUGAGUCACAUCCCACUGCAAUAUUUUAUGUGGUGCUACCACUGUCAGACAGAAUAUUGGGUUCACAGGAUACCAACCCAGUCUGAGGUGACAUGUCUUUUAUAUUGGUUUAAAUAACUUGUCCUUCACCUUGACAAAGGAGUUUUAUGAUCUGCUUUUUUCUUUUUAAAAAUUUUUGUCAUAUUAGCUCCCUUCAUUUUUUCUCAUAUUUAUUCCCUACGUACCAGUGUACCAGACCCCCAAAGUUCCAGUCUUCCUUUAUGUCAAAGAGAACACAAGGGUUAGAAAAUCAAUUUACAUUCUCCUGUAUACUUUUCAAAUCUCAGAAAGCUUAAAUCCAGUUUGAACUUAGAAGCUGAGUAUUUACAUGCAUUCUGAAGCCAUCACAUUGAAUUUACUCUUCUAGAAGGUCAUCUUAAUGCCACAGUGAAAAGUUACCCGAUGUUCGUGAAUAAAUAGCCAAUAUAGUCAUUUUGGGCUACUUUAACAAAACCACAGGGUAAACUUGGAAUGAAUAACCCACAUUUAAUUGACGUGGCUUUGGCAACAGACUUAGUUUUUCUCAGCUUAUUUCAGCCGCGCAGCUGAGGAGAAGGAUGUGCAAAUAAAGAGAUCUGUUCUCCCAUCUGUAGUUAAGUUUCUAUUGCCAAUACCACACAUAGCUUAAGAUGUUUAGGAGCCUGGAGAGAACCCAUACAGAGACUUCUUUACAUGACCAACUGCACCACAGGAAAGUUUCCCAGUUAGUAAUACGGUAUGACUAUUAAACACCCAUGAGUUGCUCUUUCUGGCUGGUGAAUUGUGUUGAGUCCUCAUUCAACACAAUUUGAAAUUUUGUUUGGCUGAAACUUUGUAGGUAUGGUUAAAGUUCUCAAAGUAAAACUGCGCUUGGGUUUUAAAGUUUUCCAUUUUCCUAGGACUUAUGAGUGUGGAAGAGGGGGAAAAAAACAGUGAUUACUGAAGUAGUUUGAAUAUAUAAGAGAGUGUAGAUCAUUGCACAGAAGCAAGUGUAACCUUUUAGGAUAGACUGAAAAUCAGAGUUUACUAAUUUGGGAAUAUUCCCUGAGACUGUAGCAAGUCUGUGAACAAAGGAUAAUUGGUAAACACCAUUUGCUUAAGCUUUUUAAAAAGCCUUUCCGGUGCCUAUUCCAAAAUGGAUUUCUUGGGAAAAUGGACUCCAUCGUUUCUAUACAUGAGGCAGCUUGCAACCAACUCCAAGUACUUUGCUCCAUGUUUAUAAUCGUUCAUUAAUGAUGUGAUCAAGUAACCCCCAAGGAAACGGUUGCCACAUGGCCCUUGCUUAGGAAAUAACCGGGGCAGUUGUUUAGUGAAAUGUGCCCAGGUGCUGCAGUAGAGCACUGACCACAAAGGCGAAAGUUUGGUCUGUCUUCAAUUCCAGACAGUGUGUAUAUUACGUACCUGCAGGGGCCCUCACCUCUCCUUGCCAACCCCUUCUGGAAACUUACAGAGUACCUACUUUGUAACGAGCAUUAUUACCAAUGAGCUAUAAUUAUAUGAUGUCAGGAUCGUUUAAAAAUUCCCUUGUUGUGACACAGCCAGCAGGUAGCCAAGCAGAUCGUCAAGCCUAGUCUUUCCCACUCUGAAGCCUAUUGUCUUUUCGCUUCAUUCUUCUGAAUAUUUAGACUAACUUGGAACUCAAGUCGAGUUUGCUUAAGCCUGUCCUAUAUAAUAAUCUCUAUGGACAGAUACAUUAAUAAUACCAAGAGUUUUGGUUUAUACAUUCAAGCAAUUAAAGAUUUGUGAGAUAGGAUCCGUGAAAAAAAAGUUGAGAUACUUUAAUCUGUAGAAGACUGAGGAAAAAAUGAGUUAGUGGCCUUUCCCAAACACUCAAAAUCAGUGCUAAUACAGAUUGCACUAACUUGGAAAUUUAUAUUAACUGAAACAGUGCUGGAAAUAAGCUUUUCCCUUUGCAGCUAUUUUUAAAUAUAGUGUUACAAUGUAAAGGAAUAGUGUAAAACAAAUUUGGAAGAUGCAAGAAGAAGCCAAUUAAGAGAACAAAUUGUUUUAAAAGAGGAAAACCUCACUGUUUUGUGUAAACACAUAGAAGAAGUUGCUGAGUAAUCUCAUCUGUUCACUACAAAUGGCUCCCAGGAACUUGCCUCUGUGCUAACUUGGUUCUUGUGCUACUAUGCAUGCUGAUGUUAAAUGUGAUGCCGGCACUCAGCUUGGCAUCUACACUCCCUGAGGAUGAGGGCAGGAGGAAUGAGGCCAGACCUGGGACCUUCCAGCCCAGUGAUGCUUUGCGGUAGGGGCGGGGGCCGAGGCGGAUACUAAAGCCACAUUCCCCGCACUAUCCUUCGUCUUGGUCACUGACCCUUGCUCUAAGGGCUUGGAAGUAUUAAGAAAUCUGUCUUUAAAAUAUUCAAUAAUUCUGAAUGAUCUUAUCCCCCUGGCUAUCUGAAUUACUGAAGUCUGGCUGUAUGAGAAAUAUAGCUGCACAGAAAAAGGAAGUCAGCUGUUUUCUCUGGUUGCUGAAGUGAGAACAAAAAACAGCAGAUUGGGAUUUCAAAAGGAAAAGUUCAUAUUCAAUUUAAUUUCAGGAAGAAUUUCCUAAAGAUGAGAGCUUAUUUCAUCCACCUAUUUUUUCAUUACACUCCGUGCUAACUAUGUGUCAGGCUCUGUGCUGAGCGUGGGUGAUGGCGAAUAAAUCAGGCACUCUCUCGGCCUAUCGUUAUCAUCAGCUCUAUUAGCAUAUAAUUGCCGUUCUGUAGAAUAAAGGCGAUGUAGAGUCAGGAACAGGCUUACAUGAGAAUUCUGAGGAGAUGGAUAAAACCCAAUCUGCCCCCAGGCUGCUAGCAGUCUAAUAACACUUAUUUUGAGAAUUGCUGCCAUUUUCUGAAUAAUAGCUAUGUACCUGUUCCAGGCCUCGUGCUAUGUUUAUUAUGUGCUGUGUUUCUAGUCCUUAGAGCGCCCCUGUGAUGGAGGUUAUAUAAUCUAAUUUUCAUAUGAGGAAACUAAAGCCACCUGCUGGGGCACCUGGUCCAGGAGGAGAGGGCUGAUGCCCGCUGAUGAGCUGAGUGGGGAUUUUGUAUUGCACAUCCUAAGUUAACAGUUGAAAAACCCCUGAUUGAAUUGUUUCUCCAAAAUGUCUUCUCUGCCACCAUCCCACGCAGAACAUCCCCCUUCUUGGCAACUCACCCCCCACUGACUCAUCCCCCAUCUCAGGCACUUAUUAAAUCCCUCUUUACUGAAGCUUUGAGGCCAGACAGUAUUCCUAACACAAACACUCUGAACGUUCUUUCCAAAAAAGAAGGACCUAAAAAUUCUCCUGUCAGCUGCUAACAGACUAAAAAGCUGUCCAUCUCCUUUCCUGCUGGAGGUAUGCAAGAUAAUGCAUCCAAAGUGACAGGAAAAGAAGGUCCCGGGUCCAUUCUGUAAGGAAGAGAUUCCCUACCAUGCUCACGUGCCCUGAACGGCACGUUUCCCAGGUGUGCUGAGAUGUUGAGCCCUCAGCUCUCAGGUAGCCGGGGGUCCCGGGGCAGCUGGUGUGUUCCUCAGUGACCUGUGUGUGUGUAUUUCCUAUGUGUGCCAGAACUUUAAAAGGACUGGGAAGCCCUGCUGUAAGUCAUCCCGUGAAACAUCUGGGGCUUGUUGGUGGUGAUAAGUGAGAGAACUUACCUUAAGAGACAGAAGGCAAAUGGGAUGAGGAGCAGUCAUCAGGGUAGGAGGAGUCAUUAGUGACCUUGAGAGAAUGAAACCCGCUGGUCCAUCUAGUGAUCCAGCCCUUGAACUCAUUAGCAAGGCCCUGUUGACAGCUGUUCUCACAGCCACAGCGUGAACCUAAACGUGUUGUGAGGUCAGAACUGAGUCAACUCAUUCUGGAUGCAAGGCUGGCUUGUCCCUUUGAGCUUUAUUUUUAUCACGGCCAUUCAAUUAUUUUGUGAGUUCUUGUAAUCCCCUGAGAAAAAAAAGUGACUUCAAAAGUACAAUAUCUAACACUUUUUCAGAUUACAAUAUUUUUAUGAACUGUGAGAAACUUACAGUGCCUUAAAGAAACUACAUAAAGAAGGUGUCAGCAUUUUCAGUAUAAACUCUAUUUCUAAAGGUUUAUGCAUUCUGGAGAAAUUUGCUUGAGGGGGAAACUUGGCAUAUGGUGUCUGAGUUCUUGACCGUCCAUACCUCAUUUCAUAGGUAUUACAAACGAGUCCUUCAAAUUCACUGCAUUUGGCAUCUGUAAUUUUUAGAAAUAAAAAGUUGGCUUUAAUAACCAGGUUUAAUAACGCAGGUGAUUUCUGCGUUUAAUGUCAGUGCACACAAUUCUUAGAGGAUCAAAGAACUCAGGGUUACCAGAAGUCCUGUUUUAUAGCUUCUGAUUAUGGCAAUAUUGUGGAGGGAAAGAAGGGAAAAGAAAAUAGUAUACCAAAAAAUGGAUAGAUACCAAAAAAUGCUGGUGUCCUCAGAUGGGCACCAGAGUUAGACUUCCUUUAUCUUUCUUCCUACCCCAGAUUUCUCCCUGCCCUAUUUCCUGCCUGGCGUUACGGGCCAGGCCAACAUACAUGGGCUUUAGUGUCUGGGGCCUUUCCCCAGAAAAAUCACUGAAAAGGUUGCCAAGAAUCCUACUUUGCUUUUUGAGUCUCCAUUUGAAGGGACUGGAUUAACUCAUAAAAUACCUAUGGGGGAGAGAGUUAUUAGACAAAGCCAAAAAAAUACUGCCCUUGCAGACAAUGCCUAUCACCAGGGCCAGAGAGAUGAGAUAAAUGCGAGAAAAACCCUGGCAUGGAAGUCUACAGAUGCGAUCCAAGAGGGUGGGGGAAGAGGUACCAGACAAUUGUGGUUCUCGGGAACCGUGCAGAUGCCGGGAAUGCCAACUAUUAACUCCAUCCUCAGGAUGGGAAGCAUGGGAACCAGCUGGAAUUCAGGGCCAGCACCAGUUCCAUAGCAGAAGCUGGGCGCACUGGCCAGAGGCAGGGGGCCCUUCUGUGCACUCUCAGCUCACAAGGCUGCCUCAAUGGCUGCUGACUGAGCAGACCCCACGUCUGGAUUUACCUGAACUUUUUGGCAGAAUCAGUAUAGCUUGGUGGCUAAGAGCUUGGUCUCUGUAUUUAUGUAAGUCUGGAUUCAAAUCCAAGCUCUUUAUUUACAGCAUACAGCCUUGGACAAGUUACCUUUUUGAGCCAUGAUUUCUCAUUUGUAAAUGGCAAUGAUAGUUCUUACCCUUUAAGGUUGAGAAGAUGAAGGGAUUAUACAAAGAAAGCAGUGAACUCCUAGCAGCAGCCAAACUGGAUGAUCCAUUUUCACAAAAGGAAAAGAGCCCCUGAUGUUGCCAUGCUGAGCAUUCUUUUAUUCAGAGAAACGAACUGCCAGAUGAGGACACUGGACAGUGGGAUUGGAACCUUCCCGCUCCCAGACUCAGGAAAUCGCUCAACGGGACGGUACAUACGCCAAGCAGACUCCCCCGAGGACACUGAGCCCC
Molecule: RNA transcript, 11972 nt
Organism: Balaenoptera acutorostrata (minke whale)
Lineage: Eukaryota; Metazoa; Chordata; Mammalia; Artiodactyla; Balaenopteridae
Gene: NCKAP5
Gene name: NCK associated protein 5
Exons: 17
Source: RefSeq, a predicted model, not a curated record